Molecule: transfer RNA, 838 nt
Filed under: Bradyrhizobium sp. 12LoS16_4
Lineage: Bacteria; Pseudomonadati; Pseudomonadota; Alphaproteobacteria; Hyphomicrobiales; Nitrobacteraceae
Description: 16S-23S ribosomal RNA intergenic spacer
Rfam family: tRNA (bases 228-301)
Source: RNAcentral
CUAAGGAUGAUCCUUCAGCGAGCUUCGGCUCACUAUCGGAUCGUUUUAGAAACAUCAGGGGCCAACAGAUCGCCAGAUCGUUGAGCUCCAUUGGCGGGAUUUCGCCGUCUACGUUUCUCUUUCUUCGCGGACGAACACGCGCCAGGGCUGCGCUGUGCGAUUGCAUUCGGCGCUUGCGCCCUAUGCUGCACGCGAGCAAGACCCUGUCCUUGAAGGAUAUGCGUUAGGGGCUUGUAGCUCAGUUGGUUAGAGCGCGCGCUUGAUAAGCGUGAGGUCGGAAGUUCAAGUCUUCCCAGGCCCACCACUUUCAUCGAGCGAGCAUUCGUCUUCUGGUUACGGGGCCAUAGCUCAGCUGGGAGAGCGCGUGCUUUGCAAGCAUGAGGUCGUCGGUUCGAUCCCGUCUGGCUCCACCAGAUGGUUUGAAUGACCGGCGCAUCGUGCACCUUAAAUCGUCCGCGAAACAUCACUUCGCACCCACUAGUCCGGAUGGACAGUGAGUUGCGUGAUUUCUGACAUCGUAAAGAGGAGAUCGAUCCGAGUUGGAUCGUGCAGCAAUUGUUGCGCGAUACUUCAUUAUCUCCGGAUCAUUUCGGCGCUUGCGCGCCUUUCAGGUGUAGCUCACAAGGCUGCGUCUGAAAGACGGGUGAGUUGUAAAUGAUCCUUUUAGCGAAGCUUGACCGCCUCGCUAUCGGAACGAUCUUACGAAGCAAGCUGGUCUUUCUAAUCAAUGCCCGGCUGCACAUAGCGUUCAUCGAGGGCGCGUGCCGCAGAGAUUUCGGUCUCUUGGCAAUUGUGCAGACAACAUUCUGCCGAGUGUGUGGACAUUGAUAAUGAGAGC